Molecule: ribosomal RNA, 1467 nt
Filed under: Triticum aestivum (bread wheat)
Lineage: Eukaryota; Viridiplantae; Streptophyta; Magnoliopsida; Poales; Poaceae
Description: partial small subunit ribosomal RNA
Source: RNAcentral
AUGGAGGCGCCUGCUGCGGACCCGGAGGUGAGGCGCGGGCUUGUCAUCGCCACGACGAGGAGGACGGCAGGGAUGGCGGAGGCGGAGAGGAGGUUGACUCGAUGUGCGGUCGUGGCGGUGGUCUUCGGAGCCCCGCGGCAAGUCGAGCUGGUUGAUGUCAAGAGGGCGAUGGCCAUGCGGUUUCGGAUCCAAGAAGAUGCUGUGAAGGUGUCCCCGCGGGCUCUGGGAGAGAUGCUGCUCAUCUUCGAUGACACUGCGGUCAGGGAUAGGGUGCUCUCCGGCCAGGGACCGCUCGUCCUCGGCCAGCUGUCUCUCCUGGUGGCGCCCUGGUCACGCUUCCGACGGGCGUCGCCGGCCAAGCUGCUCUACAAGGUGCGGGUCUGCCUGGAGGGGGUCCCGGAGCAUGCCUGGGACAUCGACUCCGUCGCAUCGCUCUUCGACCCGUCAAUGCUCAUAGAUGAAGUCGACCAUGAAGUGCGGCGGGAGGAGGAGACGGGGUGUUUCCGGUUAUGGGUGUGGAUGGAUGCGGUGGAGAAGCUCAAGACUAGAGGUGUGCUGCAGCUGGAGGAGCCACGGGAGGUGGGAUCUCCGGAGAUGCAUUUCCCUGAGAUCAACAUCACUCAGGAAGUGCCGGCGCGCUGGGGGCAAGUGUCUAUGCUUGGGCACCCAGUGCUCAUUCAUCUUGACCAUGUGGUGGAUUUCACCUGUCCGCCGGAGUCCAGCCCUAGUAGCGGUAUGAGCUGCGACAGUGGAGUCAGUGGCCUGCCCUCGGAAGAUGGUGCGAUCGACCCGUGGCCAGCCAGAUGGGGGUACCGGUGGUAUCUCAACUAUGAAGACGUCGAUUUCCCGCCACCGCCGCCUCGCGCGCCAGUUCACUCGAGGCUCCGUUUCCCUGAUGCCGGAGGCAGUGGUGGAGGUGGAGGUCGGAGAACCUAUGGUAGCGGCAGCGGCUACAGGGAAGCCAUUGUGGGGAUGCAGCAGCUGGGGGGAGGAGGACGCCAACGACAAGAGAGAGAAGGAUCGGGCGGAGGGAAUGGCGGCGGUGGAAGAAGACGCGCUGAGCUGCCGGAGGCACCGCCACUCAUCGACACGGCGGUCCUGGAAGAUGCUCCGACGGGUUCUGACCCGUUUCCUUGCACGGUCGAGGACCUGCAGGUCUCUCACAUGCAGCUGCACGGGAGGGAGACCAUGGACCUAGAUGGCAUGGAUGUGGGGGGCAGGAAGAUGUGCCAGAGGGACCGCAGGCUCGUUCUUGUGAAAGAGAGCUGGCUCUGGGCGCGGGUCAGCCGGCGCAGCUGGCCGCGCCUCUGCAGGAGGAAGGCAGGGAGAAUGAGGAAGGGAGGACGACGCCCAAUGUGGAGGUGGGGGGCGUGCAUGGCCUUUUUAAUGCAAGCCAGCCCAUUGGUGCAUGUGCGCUGCUCGCGGAGGGCCCCAGCGAGGAUGGAGUGGCGGGAGACGACCCUUUGA